UAGGCAGCUUUAUCCCGAUGGCGGUGAGU
Molecule: non-coding RNA, 29 nt
Filed under: Rattus norvegicus (Norway rat)
Lineage: Eukaryota; Metazoa; Chordata; Mammalia; Rodentia; Muridae
Source: RNAcentral